Molecule: ribosomal RNA, 985 nt
Filed under: Bacillus amyloliquefaciens
Lineage: Bacteria; Bacillati; Bacillota; Bacilli; Caryophanales; Bacillaceae
Description: bacterial SSU rRNA
Rfam family: Bacterial small subunit ribosomal RNA
Source: RNAcentral
CUAUACAUGCAAGUCGAGCGGACAGAUGGGAGCUUGCUCCCUGAUGUUAGCGGCGGACGGGUGAGUAACACGUGGGUAACCUGCCUGUAAGACUGGGAUAACUCCGGGAAACCGGGGCUAAUACCGGAUGGUUGUCUGAACCGCAUGGUUCAGACAUAAAAGGUGGCUUCGGCUACCACUUACAGAUGGACCCGCGGCGCAUUAGCUAGUUGGUGAGGUAACGGCUCACCAAGGCGACGAUGCGUAGCCGACCUGAGAGGGUGAUCGGCCACACUGGGACUGAGACACGGCCCAGACUCCUACGGGAGGCAGCAGUAGGGAAUCUUCCGCAAUGGACGAAAGUCUGACGGAGCAACGCCGCGUGAGUGAUGAAGGUUUUCGGAUCGUAAAGCUCUGUUGUUAGGGAAGAACAAGUGCCGUUCAAAUAGGGCGGCACCUUGACGGUACCUAACCAGAAAGCCACGGCUAACUACGUGCCAGCAGCCGCGGUAAUACGUAGGUGGCAAGCGUUGUCCGGAAUUAUUGGGCGUAAAGGGCUCGCAGGCGGUUUCUUAAGUCUGAUGUGAAAGCCCCCGGCUCAACCGGGGAGGGUCAUUGGAAACUGGGGAACUUGAGUGCAGAAGAGGAGAGUGGAAUUCCACGUGUAGCGGUGAAAUGCGUAGAGAUGUGGAGGAACACCAGUGGCGAAGGCGACUCUCUGGUCUGUAACUGACGCUGAGGAGCGAAAGCGUGGGGAGCGAACAGGAUUAGAUACCCUGGUAGUCCACGCCGUAAACGAUGAGUGCUAAGUGUUAGGGGUUUCCGCCCCUUAGUGCUGCAGCUAACGCAUUAAGCACUCCGCCUGGGGAGUACGGUCGCAAGACUGAAACUCAAGGAAUUGACGGGGCCCGCACAAGCGGUGGAGCAUGUGGUUUAUCGAGCACGCGAGACCUUACCAGUCUGACAUCUCUGACAUCCUAGAGAUAGGACGUCCCUUCGGGGCAGA